CAGUCGCCGCGGUAAUACAGAGGGUGCAAGCGUUAAUCGGAAUUACUGGGCGUAAAGCGCGCGUAGGUGGUUUGUUAAGUUGGAUGUGAAAUCCCCGGGCUCAACCUGGGAACUGCAUCCAAAACUGGCAAGCUAGAGUAUGGUAGAGGGUGGUGGAAUUUCCUGUGUAGCGGUGAAAUGCGUAGAUAUAGGAAGGAACACCAGUGGCGAAGGCGACCACCUGGACUGAUACUGACACUGAGGUGCGAAAGCGUGGGGAGCAAACAGGAUUAGAUACCCCUGUAGUCCCUGUCUCUUAUAC
This 301-nucleotide ribosomal RNA is filed under the name uncultured bacterium. RNAcentral describes it as "partial 16S ribosomal RNA". It matches the Rfam family "Bacterial small subunit ribosomal RNA", at positions 509 to 807 of the family's 1533-position model. The record is from RNAcentral.